This 521-nucleotide ribosomal RNA is filed under the name Salmonella enterica. Its description in RNAcentral is "partial 23S ribosomal RNA". It matches the Rfam family "Bacterial large subunit ribosomal RNA", at positions 672 to 1191 of the family's 2925-position model. The record is from RNAcentral. RNAcentral also lists the same sequence under 2 other names. Lineage: Bacteria; Pseudomonadati; Pseudomonadota; Gammaproteobacteria; Enterobacterales; Enterobacteriaceae.
GGAAACCGAGUCUUAAUUGGGCGUUAAGUUGCAGGGUAUAGACCCGAAACCCGGUGAUCUAGCCAUGGGCAGGUUGAAGGUUGGGUAACACUAACUGGAGGACCGAACCGACUAAUGUUGAAAAAUUAGCGGAUGACCUGUGGCUGGGGGUGAAAGGCCAAUCAAACCGGGAGAUAGCUGGUUCUCCCCGAAAGCUAUUUAGGUAGCGCCUCGUGAAUUCAUCUCCGGGGGUAGAGCACUGUUUCGGCUAGGGGGCCAUCCCGGCUUACCAACCCGAUGCAAACUGCGAAUACCGGAGAAUGUUAUCACGGGAGACACACGGCGGGUGCUAACGUCCGUCGUGAAGAGGGAAACAACCCAGACCGCCAGCUAAGGUCCCAAAGUCAUGGUUAAGUGGGAAACGAUGUGGGAAGGCCCAGACAGCCAGGAUGUUGGCUUAGAAGCAGCCAUCAUUUAAAGAAAGCGUAAUAGCUCACUGGUCGAGUCGGCCUGCGCGGAAGAUGUAACGGGGCUAAACCAUG